GACGAGGGGUCCAAGCGUUUGUUCGGAAUCAUUGGGCGUAAAGCGGGUGUAGGCGGCUCUAUAAGUCAGAAGUGAAAGCCCCGAGCUUAACUUGGGAAGUGCUUUUGAUACUGCAGAGCUUGAAUGUGGGAGAGGGUAGUGGAAUUCCAGGUGUAGUGGUGAAAUACGUAGAUAUCUGGAGGAACACCGGUGGCGAAGGCGGCUACCUGGCCCAACAUGACGCUGAGACCCGAAAGCAUGGGGAU
Molecule: ribosomal RNA, 245 nt
Filed under: uncultured bacterium
Lineage: Bacteria
Description: partial 16S ribosomal RNA
Rfam family: Bacterial small subunit ribosomal RNA
Source: RNAcentral